GUCGGUCGGCGAUGUCCCGCGGAGUCCUUGCGGCUCGCGCGCGGGCACGCUACCGUGCGCCGAUGUCCGGCGCUCGUCGUCGUGCACUUCUCCCCAAGUAGAACGUCGCGACCCGCUGGGUGUCGGUCUACGGCCCGGGUGCGGUGUCUGUCGCGUCGCCGGUAAAACGGCACGCGACAAACCCUCGGUCGCCCGGCCGGCUGCUCGGCGGUACGCGCAAGGUAUCAGGCCGCACUAUUCACGGUGCGUCGAGACCGUCGCAAGCGCGCGCCACGGUACUCGGAGGUUACGGACUUCGCGCCGUCCCCGGUCCUGGCCCGCUGUUGGUUACAGUACGGUACACCUUCGACAGGCCUGCGAACGUCUCCCGCGAUC
Molecule: ribosomal RNA, 375 nt
Filed under: Nylanderia bourbonica
Lineage: Eukaryota; Metazoa; Arthropoda; Insecta; Hymenoptera; Formicidae
Description: partial 28S ribosomal RNA
Source: RNAcentral